Cryptomeria japonica (Japanese cedar) is the source of this 578-nucleotide long non-coding RNA. RefSeq lists it as uncharacterized. NCBI's taxonomy places the organism in Eukaryota, Viridiplantae, Streptophyta, Pinopsida, Cupressales, Cupressaceae. The record is from RefSeq and is a predicted model, not a curated record. The transcript is spliced from 3 exons.
UUCCUGUCCUGUCAUAAUAACAAACUGUUGGGUAGAGUUCCAAUGAAUUCUUUAAUGAUACUCAGAGGAUUCGAACUGACAACCUGUAGCGUCAAAUUUGCUCCCAUGCAAUUCUCAAGCUUCCAGCGCAACAAUUGUUUAGAAAGUCAUUAUUUUUUUCAACUCAAAACAUCGCUUUGUGGUGAUUUUUAGUGGUGCUCAGGGUUCCUUUCAGCGUUGUCAAUGUUUCUGUAGAGGGAAAAGGAGAAUGGUGUAAUGGAGAAGGGAGGAAACGACAUGAUCUUCCAUGCAUCACAUUAUGGUAGAGAAACGGCGCAUUCUUAUCAUCAGAUGUCGAAUUCAUCAGUUGGAUUCGAUUUGGGAGACUUUCCCACCUCAUGUCUCCAUAAAUUUACAUGUUUUUCCAGAGCUAUUUCGGACACAAUAAGGCUUUUCUAUCACAUGGCACUUUUUCUCUCCCAGACCCAUGCAUAGGAAAUAUGUGUUUUCUUUGGUGAUAUUUACCUGUGACUGUUUUUACAAUCCUUCAACAGCAUUUUUGGAUGAUGCUUUUGCUCAGUGGCUUUAGGCAUUUUUAU